Molecule: ribosomal RNA, 467 nt
Filed under: uncultured bacterium
Lineage: Bacteria
Description: partial 16S ribosomal RNA
Rfam family: Bacterial small subunit ribosomal RNA
Source: RNAcentral
GACGAACGCUGGCGGCGUGCUUAACACAUGCAAGUCGAACGGAAAGGCCCUGCUUUUGUGGGGUGCUCGAGUGGCGAACGGGUGAGUAACACGUGAGUAACCUGCCCUUGACUUUGGGAUAACUUCAGGAAACUGGGGCUAAUACCGGAUAGGAGCUCCUGCUGCAUGGUAGGGGUUGGAAAGUUUCGGCGGUUGGGGAUGGACUCGCGGCUUAUCAGCUUGUUGGUGGGGUAGUGGCUUACCAAGGCUUUGACGGGUAGCCGGCCUGAGAGGGUGACCGGCCACAUUGGGACUGAGGUACGGCCCAGACUCAUACGGGAGGCAGCAGUGGGGAAUAUUGCACGAUGGGCGGAAGCCUGAUGCAGCAACGCCGCGUGCGGGAUGACGGCCUUCGGGUUGUAAACCGCUUUCGCCUGUGACGAAGCGUGAGUGACGGUAAUGGGUAAAGAAGCACCGGCUAACUACGU